AGAGAGGAAACGCAAAGAAGAGGAAGAAGCUCGGGAGAGAGCAGAGCGUGAAGCUGCAGAGAGAGAAGCUGCUAGAGUGAGAAUGAGACAAGAGAAAGCUCUUGCUCUUGGAGACGAACCUGAGAAAGGUCCUGAUGUCACACAAGUAAGUUCUCCUUCUUUCUUUACCAAUUCAUUACUUAGUCUACGCCAAAGACAUCAAUUCUACUUCGCUUAAAAACUUUGUGAGGGAUGUGCCUCUUUAAAGAUUAGGUUCUAUGGUUCAUCUAGGUUUUGGUACGGUUUCCGAAUGGAGAAAGAAAAGGGAGGAGGUUUGAAAGCAACACCAAGAUACAGACAUUGUACGACUACGUUGAUUCACUUGGAGUGCUGGAAACAGAAGAGUAUAGCUUGAUUACAAACUUCCCAAGAACAGUCUACGGAAGAGACAAAGAGUCAAUGUCACUGAAAGAUGCUGGUUUGCAUCCUCAGGCUAGUCUCUUCAUUGAGAUCAACUGAACUUUCUGUUUCUUUCUUCUUUGGCCUCUCUUUUUAAAUAAUUAGUUUGUUUGCUUCAAUGAUCCGAUGGACAAGUUCACAUAUAUAACACACACAUACAUUCAGAAGUUCUGUUACAUAUUGUUAUAUUUAUUUUCUUAAAUACUACGCAACAACCUCGAAGAGAAAGUAAAGUGGUUUAGCAUGCACAACUUCUCUCUGAUUAUUUAAAUGGACAAAGUGAUAAAAGAGAAUUAAUAAAGAAGCAGAAGUUGUAUACAUGAAGAUACCAUUCUGUAUAUUUUCAGUUUCUCAACGUUCAACUUCGAGCAGGAGUCUUCCCCUUCUUAUCCUUUGUCUCCCUCGCAGAUGCCUUCAUCAAAGGCUUCUCCACAUCGCCCGAGAUGUCAAGAUGAACGCCGGGAUCAUGAGUCUCGUACUUGGCCCCCAUCAUUAGCGAGUUGUUCACAGCUUGAAAGUUGCUGUUAACGAAGGUAGUAAGGAAAUCAAGCUCAUGUUUGUUUUCUCCAUGAUUGUUGUCGAGCUCUGUCUUCAUGGUGGCUCCUAUGUUGGAUCCAGAGAGCGUGAUAACUCUGACGCCUUCAUCCUCCUCCCUUUCUUCAUAUUGGCUCGGUCCUCCCUUCUCUGCUCCCAUGUGGGUUAAAGACGAGAUCAUGUUUUUUAGGUCGUGCUGGAAAUGUUGUCUCCCGUGCUUCUCUUCUUUGCCUCUUGCCUCGGUUAGCUUCAUUGUUUUUAUUAGGUAACUAAUACCAGAAGAAGGGAAUGGAAGCAAGAUACAUAUAUAGUUUAUAUUUUAUGGGAAUAAAAGAUGAGGGCAUUGCCUUGUGUUGCAAUCUAAGAAUUGGAAUAACUUUCCAUUGAGUUCAAGAAUAUCUUUUGGCAAUUGACAAAAAAUUGUAUGACACAAGAGAAAGCACAAAUUCUCUUGGAGAUAAACUUGGUAAGGGUUCUCAUGUCACACAAGUGAGUUCUCCUCCAUUUUCUCUGUAGUUCGCACUGUUACAAAAACUUCAAUCUAUUUCACCUUUUUGGUAUUCUAAAACUUAUCACAUGUUUGAAACUUGCGUUUUGACCUCCUAUGAGAGUAGCUGGGAAAAAGAAAAAAAUACGAAUAAAAGAAGUCAUAACUUCUAUUUAAUAGUAUAGAUGAUUGUGGCAUCAUGCGUUUGGCACUGGAAGAAAGAAAUCCCACAAAAAAGUUUGGCCUGAAAUUUGAUCAAGAGAUAUAAAAAUGAGUUAACUUUCAUCUGGAAGUGAUCCAAAGUCAAUAUUCCAACAUAAUGCACAUCUUACUAGUGAAUUUUCCGUCUGGUAGGGAGACAGUUUUGCGAAAGUUCACAUAAUGCCAUACAGAGCCAUUUCCUCUGAUAACAGCCAUUCCUGACCCUAGAGAGAGAAAAUUAAGAUUUUUGGAUUUCUCUAUUUCGACCUAAUAUAGAAAAUUUUAACUGAUUUGUUAAACUGUUUUCAGCAUAAUCACAGAAAAUUUUCAUCAUUUUCUGAACCUCGUAUUUUUCAAGAAGCAAAUAGGUCCAUAGUUCUAGAGAGAAAUUGUCCACUAUAGUAAGAAAAUACACUGCACCACUUGAUGCAGAUACUCUAUAUGCACCCAAACAUGAAACAUCAACUUGUAUUCAACCAAAAACUUCUGCUAUAUUCAAAUUGUCUGAAAUAGCUCUAAAACACACAUCACAUUUACUAUAGCUAGCUUUACCUAAAACACCAAAAUACAUAGGCGAAGAAGAAAGCACAGAAAAGGCCGGAUGUCCUUGCCUAAGAUGGCACAAAGCUUGAUCGAUAUUCCCAUCAGUUUUUUUGACCCGUGCGACUUUAACAUCCUUAAAAUAAUACACCCCAUCACGUUCCUCGCUGGCUCUAGUCAUAGGCUUCGUGUAACGGUCAUGUAACACACAAAUAGCAUCAGUAAACAAUGAAAAACAAUUUAUGUUCUUUAGAAGCUAUGAAACCGAGAUUAAGGAAAAAUUUAAAUCUGAAACAUAAAGCACAUCUUUUAGUGAUAAUCGUUCAGACAACACCAUUACUCCCAUACUAGAAGACAUCGUAAUACUUCCAUCUGCAAAUCCUACACCAAGUUUAUUUUAUAUUCACCAGCAACGAAAGAUUGCCAGUCAUAUGGUGAGAUGCCUUUGUGUCAAUAAUUACAUCACCAAGUAUCUUACCAUACAGCUUCUCAGAUGAUCCACCUUGUUUUUCUUGAAUUAUAUGAGUGAUAGCCUAUAACUGCUCAUGACUUAGAUCAUCGGCAGUCAAAACAUGAGGAGCUAUAGCAUGUGCUACAUUCGUUGUAUUUCCUCUGCCUCUUCUGAAGCUUCCAUGACCACCUCCUCUACUGAAGCCACGCCCACCAUGACUUCCUCCUAUCUCAGCAGUCCAUUCGGGAUAUCCGACAAGCUGCCAACCUGUAUUUUUAUCAUGACCAGUCUUCCCACAAUGAGAACACCGAAAAUAUAUUGCUUUGUUUCCAGUUGAAAAGUCAGUUAUGCUUCCUUGUCUUGAUGCAACACGACGUAGAAUAUUUGUGGUGUGAUCUUAUGUUUCCCGUUGUGUCACAAGCCCAACAAUAUCUUGUGUUUUUUCUCUGUUUUAAGCUGAUUUCAGUCUUGCUUCUUCUCAAAUCACCUUAGCGUAAACCUUACCGAUAUCAGGUAACUCUAUGGAGCUCACCACUUCCAAAUCUGGAUUCAUCAAGUCCCAUAAUAAAGAACAAUACUUAGGUUCACCCUAUGGUGAAUGGUUAAAUUCACCACAUUCUUCAUAACCAACCAAAAUGCCACGUAGGAAUAGUUUAAAAAAAUAAUAAAAAUAAAAACUUAAAUAGUUGAAAAAAAACAACACCGACAUUAAUUAGCUUUUUUAUUUUUAUUUUUAUUUAUUUUUGUUUGUUUAUUUAAUUUAAACCAAGGAUAUUAGAGACAUUUUACCCUUUAAUGAAUGUCAUUUUUGUGACUUUCUCCUUCUAGUGCUCUUUUUGAGACAUAAACUUCAAAAGAUGCUAUUAUUGACAAUUGCCCAAAUAUAUUUACAAUAAAAACUCUAUGAAUUAAUAAACUUAAUAAAUUAAUAAAUUUCUUCGGUCCCGAGUUAGGUUGGUUCAAAAUAUGACACAAAUCGAUAAAAUAAUAAGAUAAUAUUUUUUUUGAUUAUGCUAUGUAAAUAUAAUGUCUCAUUAAAAUAAUUAACUAAUAAUAUAUAUAAUUUAUAUAAUUAUAAAUAAUAUAUUAUUUUAUUUUGUAUUUAUAAUAGAUUUUAUUUGUAUUUUCUUAAGAUUUUAUAAUAUUUUUGAUUAUAGCUGAUAAAAUAGUAUGAUACACACCUCAUGCAAUAAAAUAAUAUAAUAAAAAGGAUAUGAAAAUUGAAUUUAUAAAUUUUAAUGAAUAUUAUAAAGAGUUAAAUCAAAUAUUUUCUUAUUAUACAAAAGUAUAUAUUAAGAUAUAUAAAGUUAGAGAAGGAAACCUUUUUAUAAAUUAGUAAGUCUAUAAUUAAAAUUCUAUAGUCCUGCAUUAUUAAUUUAUAUAGUUUUUGCUGUAUAUUCUAAAACUGAAGAAAGAAAACAAAUCAAAUGUAACAAAAAAAAGAAAGAUCCAAAAAUAAAAUCCAGAUUGAACAAACAUCCAUCAGAUCGUGUUGGAGUAGAGGGGGUAGUUUAGGUAAUUGACUGACCAAGGACAUCGUCUAUUAUUCGGCACAGUUUUCUAGAUUCGAGAGAGAUACAUCAGCUCCUUUGCUGCGAUAAUGGUUGACGUCGCCGACAAAUUGGGUUACUUCCAGGCGGUUACAGGUCUCGAAGAUGCCGAUUUAUGCACAGAGAUCCUCCAAGCUCAUGGCUGGGACCUCGAACUCGCUAUCUCCUCCUUCACAUCAUCAUCUGACCCUUCGUCUUCCCGCGUCGAUGGCGAUCACAAUCGCGAACCCUUCACUGAACUCGAAGAUGCCCCUUCUCGCGCAAUCGAAUUUGACGACGGGAGAGCGUUCAGGCCUCCGGGAAUCGCCUGGAAGAUCAUCACCUUACCGGUUUCGAUCGUCUCCGGUAGCUUAGGGUUAGCUUCUAGUGCGAUCGGGUUCGGAUUCUGGGUCGCCGGCGGAGCUUUGAGUUAUUCACUUGGCAUGUUAGGGUUCGGAUCAGGUCGUGGUGGGUCUGAGACUGAGUCGUCGUCGUCGUCGUCAUCGGCGGCAGGUGAAGCGAUGGAGUUCAUUGCUUUGUUCGAUAGAGACUAUGGGAGAAACCCUCUAAAGCCUGGUUUUGUAUCAGAAGGUUUCAUGGACGCGCUUCAGCUAUCUAGGAGCCAGUUUAAGCUCUUGUUUGUUUACUUGCACUCUCCCGACCAUCCUGAUACGCCUGCGUUUUGCGAGAGGACGCUUUGCGACGAAGGGGUUGUUGCGUUUUUGAAUGAGAACUUUGUGGCUUGGGGAGGUAGUAUACGAUCUAGUGAAGGGUUUAAGAUGAGUAAUAGCUUCAAGGCUUCCAGGUUUCCUUUUUGCGCUGUGGUUAUGCCUGCUGCUAAUCACAGAAUCGCUCUUCUCCAGCAGGUAGUCAAAAUAAAUACUUGGAUGAGUGAGUUUGGUAUUAUUAAAUAUAUUAAGGUGGUGGCAAGAGAUGUAGUUCUUGGUUUUAGUUUGUUCUUUGUUCCGUUUGCUUGUGGCAGGUGGAAGGACCAACAACUCCAGAAGAAAUGAUUGCUAUACUGCAAAGAGUUGUAGAAGAUAGUUCAACUGUUCUUGUAACCGCAAGGGUUGAGGCAGAGGAAAGAAGAACCAAUUUGCGCCUGAGAGAGGAACAAGAUGCUGCUUACAGGGCUGCUCUUGAAGCCGAUCAAGUAUGUUUUCCCCCUUCCCCAAGACAGAUUAUCAUUAGUCUUUUGUCUAAAUUUGUUGUUUCUUUCCUUUGUGUGUUUUAUUAGGCAAGGGAGCGACAGAGACAGGAAGAUCAAGAGCGUAUAGAAAGGGAAGCUGCUGAAGCAGAGAGGAAACGCAAAGAAGAGGAAGAAGCUCGGGAGAGAGCAGAGCGUGAAGCUGCAGAGAGAGAAGCUGCUAGAGUGAGAAUGAGACAAGAGAAAGCUCUUGCUCUUGGAGACGAACCUGAGAAAGGUCCUGAUGUCACACAAGUAAGUUCUCCUUCUUUCUUUACCAAUUCAUUACUUAGUCUACGCCAAAGACAUCAAUUCUACUUCGCUUAAAAACUUUGUGAGGGAUGUGCCUCUUUAAAGAUUAGGUUCUAUGGU
RNAcentral lists this long non-coding RNA (5738 nucleotides) under Brassica napus (rape). RNAcentral's name for it is "long non-coding RNA (BNAP_LNC008134)". Lineage: Eukaryota; Viridiplantae; Streptophyta; Magnoliopsida; Brassicales; Brassicaceae. The record is from RNAcentral.